UACCAGCACCCCGAGUGGUCGUGACGAUUAUUGGGCCUAAAGCAUCCGUAGCCGGUUCUACAAGUCUUCCGUUAAAUCCACCUGCUCAACAGUUGGGCUGCGGAGGAUACUAUAGAGCUAGGAGGCGGGAGAGGCAAGCGGUACUUAGUGGGUAGGGGUAAAAUCCGUUGAUCCAUUGAAGACCACCAGUGGCGAAGGCGGCUUGCCAGAACGCACUCGACGGUGAGGGAUGAAAGCUGGGGGAGCAAACCGG
RNAcentral lists this ribosomal RNA (253 nucleotides) under uncultured bacterium. RNAcentral describes it as "partial 16S ribosomal RNA". It matches the Rfam family "Archaeal small subunit ribosomal RNA", at positions 474 to 727 of the family's 1478-position model. The record is from RNAcentral.